CUUCCUCUCUGUUACCAUCAUAUAUUUUCUUGCUAAGGUAUUUAAGUAUUCCAUCAAAUACUUUUUCUUAUGGUCAUCAUCAUCAUCCUUUUAGGAAGUUUUUAUACCAUUAUCAUUAACUUACAAACAGUCAUAAAUAAUGUUAAAUUAUAUCUAUGUUAAGCUGAUAAAUGAAAUGUGUAUAUAGAAAUACCAAAUUCUCUAGAAAACUUUAAUUUUCUAAGAAACACUUAUAAUUUCAUAACCUUGUGCACAAGGCUUGUAAUAUCAAAUUCAAGUAAACUGCCUACACUUUUUCUUUAAGACAUUUGACAUGUUCUAAAUUCAUUUAUUAUUUAUUACACAGUAAACGCAAUUCAUAAGUUUAAUAAAUGCAAAUUAUUACCACGUUAUUUAUGAUAAUGUUAAAAACGAUAAAGAGUUGAUGAAAUAUUUAAAAUGAUUAAAUCACUUUAUAAAACUACAGAAUGCCCUGCAACAUUGUGUUGUGCUUUGGAGGCACUUUGCCCCAGACAAAAAAAAAAAAAAAAAAAAUUGUAUUCAGAUCCAGACAGAUGCAAAUGAUCUGGCAGCAGUUUACAGCUACUGACUUUCAAACAUAGCCUACUACAAGUUGUUUUCAUUUAGAGUAGGCUAUAUCAUAAUUUUAGGAAAAGUCAAAGAAUCUUUUUGUUAAUGGGAAUGAAUUACCUGAAAGGCAGCUCCACCCUCCCUCUCUCUCCCUCCUCCCUCCUUCAUCUGUUCAGCAGCAUGUCAGAGCCUGUGGGAUGGAGUUACAGCACAUUAACUUUCCAUCUGGAUGCUGCUCUGAGCACCUUUAAUGAAGACAGUCGCAUCUCUCCAAACUUCACAAGACCCGCGACUGUCCAACACACACCUCCAGCGGAACAAAGCUGUUUUAAAAGUAACUUUUCCGAAAAUACAGCCAAAGCAUGAAGCUCCAGUGCGUUUCUCUUCUCAUUUGUGCUUUACUCGUUGGCGAGUGCUGCGGGUCUCGUCUGGACCGCUGGGUCCGAACUGGACUUCAGUACCUGCAGCUCAACCUGUGCCGGAGGGUCUCCUUACCGGAGAGCGAGUGCAAGAAGCUGUCCCAACUGCACCUGAGCGGGGUGGUCGUGUACGUGACCGAGUCCGGCUCGGGGAAAGUGCUGACGAUCCUGCCGGACUCAUACUCGAGCGGUGCGCUGCAGUCCAAGCAGAGCGGCUUCACUGUGGACGCGAGCGCGGAUGAUGACAGCAGGACGAACGAAGAGCUGUACCCGGGCGCGAGCACGCACGACGCCGUGCUGCUGCUGGACCCCAGUCCCGGCGAGAGCUUCGGACACCCGGUGGCUCUGUUCUAUGUAGACUUCAACAUAACCAAGAAGAAAUGUGCUCAUAUGGACGGCAUUUAUCUGGGGGAGGAGUGCUUGAUGAUUGCUGUGAAGACACAAUGCCAGAACCAGCUGAAGCGGAGAAGGAGUCGCAGCGACCGUAUGGCGAGCCGGGCGAGGGCCCGCAGGAGUACGAUGGACAGGACCGGCCGAGUGGAGCAAAGCAGCGGCCUCUGUGAGAUUCACUUUCUCCCCCUGGUUGUGGGAGUGAAAGAUAGCAACCGAACCCAACGCCUACGUUGUGUAGAUCACCCAGACUUUGCCAGAUGCCCGCAGCCUUUGCCACUGACCAGCCCCAGCACGCCCAUCUCCAGCUGUGAGCUCAAUAAAAACACCCGCCGGUGCCAUCAGCAACGCCUGGCCACACACCUGUCCUGCCGCCUUUACCAAACCUGUGAUCAUGCUGUUCUCCUGUCAGGUGGCUGGCAGGAGCAGAUAACAUACCAACAACAUGCGAAGAACCUGCAGCUCCUCUACCAGAUGUUAAGGAACAACGGUUUCCAUAAGGACCACAUAAAGACAUUCUUUGCUGGGAAUGGACAGGUAGCAGCUAAAGAGACAGAGGGAAUGUAUCCAGCCACAGAGAAAGAGGUGAUCAGGAAUCACAUUUCCUACAUCUGCCGUAAGCAGCACUGUGUGGAUUCUCUUGUUCUGUACCUGAACAGCCCCACACGCAAUGACGGCACCAUGCUGCUCUGGGACCGCAAUAACAACGGCAUUGCAGAUCUGAAGGAGCGUUACUCUGUGGGUGAACUGCUAGCGGAUCUGGCCGGGUGCAGGGCCAGUCGGGUGCUGCUCUUUGUGGAGCAGAGCUACAGUGGAGUCCUCAGCAAGAGACUGAUGGGAUCUCUCAAACACGUCAAUGUCGUACUGCUGAACGGCUUGCCCUCGGUGCACACAGCUGAGUUCUGGGCCUCUCUGCACCCAUCCGAGUGCCUCAUAGACCACCUCAGUAAGAGUUCUGGGAUGCCCCACCUGGCUGAUGCUGCUCUGGGAUUGCUGAACGUGACUCUGGCUGGUGCUCCGUGUAACUCCACCCCUCCUCUCACCGAAGCCGAAAUGAGGAAAGAGUACAUGGGCUGCCAGAACCUCCCCACAGCUCUGUGGUACCAAAAACGGCCCAAGACUGACAAUAGCUGGAACUGAGUGAACUGACAGUUUCCAGGUCUUUCAGGAGGACUAGAACCAACUCUACUGCUCCAAAUACAUAACUCGGACACUUCAGUGGAGUACUUCCAUGGAAAACAAGUAGUCCUAGAAAUAUGACUUUGUAUAAUGCACAAACUUCAAAUUUAUGACCAGCCCUUUCCUCUCUCUCACACACACAAAAGAAUCUACCUGUGUGAGCGCACUUAAUUCACCCGGUGAUGCACAUAGACCUUUGACAAGCUGUUGAGGAACAGAGACUACAUAAUGCACGCUUAAGAGAUCGAAAGAAGAGAUGGACAUGCAGGACACAGAGAGAGAAAGCAUCUGACGUGUCCUCACUUUGAACCUCAGUUCCCCAGCUUGCCACUCCGUAGAACGCAUCCCGUAGGGAGCGUCCCAUGCAAACUUCUCCUCUCUCUGCCUGCCGUGGGGGUUCAGCGCAGGGGCAUCCACGCUCCUUUACCUGAGUGCUCUUCCGUGGGUCAUCGCACAGGGCGCGCCUGGAACUGAACAAUGGUGACAAGGCCACUCUGAAACACACCUUACACUCACUUGAACAUUUCAGGACAAAUCUCCUUGUCCCUCCUUCAGCUCAGUAAGGGACAGGGCGGUCCAGAAUGAUUUAGUAAUGAGAAAUGUUCCCUCACCACGUCUGGACCCUAGCAGACACUGGGCUCUGCAAGCAUGUAUUUAAGUCAGACCUCUUAUCCACCCUGUAUUAACCACUCUGUCCGCAGUAUUCCCUUAUCUCCGCAAACAUUUAAACGCCAGCCACUGAUAAUGUUGACAGUGACAAGAAGGUAUUUCAGGCCCCACUCCAGCUCCUGUGGGAAUUCAUACACAUUCUUCAAAAAUUACAGGCAGUAGGAUAUAAUUUUUCCGCAGGGUAUCUACUUGGUCAGAAAUAUACACUAUCAUUCAAAAGUUUGGGGUUAGUAGGAUUUUUUUAAAAAUGCUUUUGAAAUUAGUCUCUUAUAUUAUGGCUGCAUGUAUAUGAUCAAAAAUGCAGUAGAAACAGCUAUAUUUGGAAAUAUUAAAAUGUUUAAAUAAUGUUGCUAUUUAAAAAUAUUUUAAUCCUUUUUAAAAUCAAAGUUUAUCCUUCAGAAUUCAUUCUUAUUUCCUGAUUUGGUGCUAUAGAACCAUUUAUUUUGUAUCAAAGUUGAAAACAGAUGUGCUGCUUAAUAUUUUUGUGGAAACAUUGAUGCUUUUUUUUCAGGGUUCUUUGAUGAAUAGAAAGUUCAAAAGAACAGUGUUUAUUUAAAAUAGAAAUCUUUUAAACAUUAUAAAUGUCUUUACUGUCACUUCUGAUCAAUUUAAUGUCCUUACGUCAUAAAAAAAAACACUUACCCCAAACUUUUAAACACUCACAUGGACUGCCAUCGAUUUCUUCAUGCUUUUCUCACAAUACUGAUGUAAGUGGGCCAAAGCCCCAUCAAACUUCAGUGCAUUGUAGUCAAUUAUUAACUCCAAGUUUUGUAUAGUUCAGAAAUGUGUUAUCCUGUAAAUAUUUCUAUCAUGUUCUACUUAAUGAAUGAAUUUUAAUGGUCUAAAAGGAUUAUACAUGUUAUUGUUUGUGUUAAAACAUAGCUGGAGUGAAAAGAUGUAAAUACUCUAAAUAAAUUAACUUUUGUACAUAGUCAGGGUUGUAUUUAUUUAGACUUUAUUUUUUAAGUUUUGUUUUAAAAUGAAAUACUUGACCAACUUGUGCACAUUUCACAAAAAAACAAAACAAACAAACAAACAAACAAAAAAAAAAAACACAGAUAAUGCUUCCAUGAAAGGCAGCAGCCGCUCUUCAAAAAGCACAAUAUGAGAUUAUCCAAAGGCUGCAGAAAUCCCUUUAAUAUCAUCACCUUUUGAAAAGCAGUUUAUCUUUUAAAAUUAGUUCAUAACUAAAUUCCUGGUUUAAUGUACACUAGUAUUAUGCUGGUUUAAUGUACACAAGUAUUUUCCAUGUUCAGUUUUUGAAUCUCAAGUUAUUAAUGCGCACAAAAUAGGGCACAAAAGGGGGACAGAUAGUUUAUGUGGUUUGGUAAAGCAUCCACACUUUAGUGAACAUUUUUGGCUCAGCUUAAAGGGGUCUGAUGUUUUUUUUGAAAUCAUGUUUUUGGAGGAAGAAAUUGGGAACAGUAUAUUUCACAGUGUACAUGUUACACAUAUUACAUGUUACUGUAUUUAAAUACUAUAGAUAACAACAAAGCAAACUUACUGAACAAGGAAAGUACAUUAGUUUUAAUAUGUACUUACAGUAUGUAAAUGCAGAGUAACAUGAACACUGAAAUAUGAAGUGUGACUAGAAAUGUUCGUGCCAGCAUUAUAAUGAAAGAAACAUGACCCUGAGCAUGUUACCUACAAUUCCCAUCUGUAGAUGAUCCAGGUACUUCCACAUCUCCUCAGUAUACAGGGAUGGAUAGAAGUGUAAACAACGGAAGUGAUACAUGUAAUCUAUAUAUAUUAAAACAAUGUAACAGAAAUGACUGAUUAUAGUCAUCAGCAUUUUAAAACUAAUGUUUUUUCCUAAGCAUUAAAGAGAAAAUCUGACAUUAUUUACUUGUUUGACUUUCUUCUGCGUGGACACAAAAGAAGAUAUUUUGAGAAAUGUCCUAGUGUUUUUGUCCAUUCAGUGAAAAUCAGUGGGGGCCAUUGGUUACCAACGCUCAUCAAAAUACAGUACAGAAGAAAGAAGUCAUACAAGUUUAGAACAACACGAGGGUAGUAAAUGAGGACCAUUUUCAUUUUAGGGUGAACUAACCCUUUAGCAUAUUGAGAGGUACUCAGUGAUUGGUUGAUUUUAAUGAGACCUUUCCCGGAGAAACACUCUUUGUAGUUCGUUACUUUUGUGCAGUCUGGUGCCCCUGUGUCUGAGAUGAACUUUGGAGCUCAAUGGGCUCUUUACCAUUUUCCUGAUUGAUUUCACACAUCUCCAUUCCUCAUCACUCCUCCAUCAUCUUCAGCAACUCUGCUGUGGCUCCUGUGGUUGUUCACCUUUAGAGACCUCUGACUCUGGGGUUUGCUGCUGUUUCAACCACAUGGCUGUGUACAGUCCCCCCAUGGCCAGCAGCUCCUCAUGCCUACAGACAGAGAGCAGUCAGACACAACAUAAGCAGACAGACCACUUACAGAAAAGAGCACAGAUCCAUCUUUCUGUUUUUAUUUGAAAAAUGUGAGUUAAACUUCAGCACAGCCAACAGUUUUUGAGAUUUUUGACUUUACCGUUAAAAUAGGUAGAAAUAACCUAGACUGAAAACAGCUGCCCAGGGCAUUGCCAAGAUUGCUGCCAAAGUGGACUGGCUCAUCUUAAAGGGACUAGAGAGCAGUUCAGCUUCACAGGGGGUUGGAGAAGCCAAAUGAAAGCUUCCCUCUGGCUCCAGAAAUCACUUUAGGGCAAGGAAACUCUCAGGACCAUCUCCAUUACUUUUCUCAGAUCGCUAAAACAGAGUUAGGAGGGUCGGUCUAGGGUCAAGUUUGUUGAAGCAUCAAUUACUUGGAAGUAUGACAUCAAAAGUGAAGCAGACGCAGUAUGGGGCAUUGAGCUCUGGGAAUGAGAGUGUGUAAAACGUUCUCAUCGUAAUGGAAGUUAUGAAACCAGAAGUUUCAAAUGGACCUGAGGAAGCAUUCUGGAUCAGCCGCAAAAGUGGAUUAUUACCUAUUUAAAUUAAUAACAUGGCCAGUGUUUAUCCUCCAGAAUCCCCACAUCUUUUGGUUAAUAAUAUCCAUAGGUUUUCCAGUUGUUCA
Molecule: long non-coding RNA, 6257 nt
Organism: Cyprinus carpio carpio
Lineage: Eukaryota; Metazoa; Chordata; Actinopteri; Cypriniformes; Cyprinidae
Source: Ensembl